GAAGGACAGAGCCGUUGGUGCACUCACCAAACUUUAAUGACUGCCUACUGUGUGGGGCUGGCCUGGGAACAAGGUGUCCACACAGGGGGCUGGAGGGGUAUGGAUGGCAGCGGGUGGGGCUGUGUGUGCUAGAGGCCAUUUGUUAUUGAGCAACAGCCUUAGGUCAGGCUGGAUGAGUGGCUGAAACCCAGCAGGUUGGUCACAUUGACUCAGGUAACUCCUUCUCGCCGUGAAGGACUGCCCCAGAUAGGAAAUGCUUGGGUAUGAAACACACACAUGCACGCACAGAGGGAAGACACUAGUUUCAGAGGAAGAACAGCGAGGGGCAUUUAAUCUUAGAACUUAAGAG
This 349-nucleotide long non-coding RNA is filed under the name Homo sapiens (human). RNAcentral's name for it is "HSALNT0029261". Lineage: Eukaryota; Metazoa; Chordata; Mammalia; Primates; Hominidae. The record is from RNAcentral.